Molecule: ribosomal RNA, 411 nt
Filed under: uncultured bacterium
Lineage: Bacteria
Description: bacterial SSU rRNA
Rfam family: Bacterial small subunit ribosomal RNA
Source: RNAcentral
GAAGACAGCCGAAGGGGUAGUACAUUUCUUUUCUGUCAGAAGAAUAAGCUGGUCGAGACGAGUGACGCCGCUAUGACAGGAAUAAGCAUCGGCUAACUCCCCAGCAGCAGCCGUAAUAAUAAGGAGGCUGCAAUCGUCAUCAUUUUUUAGUGGUUUUAAAGGGUUAGCAGGGUGUUCAAUUAGUCAGUGAAAUAAGUGGGUUCAUUAACGGUAGGACAUUCAAAGAUACUUUUGGACUUGAAUAGAGAGGCGGUAGGAAUAAUUAGUAUAGUAGCGGUGAAAUGCAUAGAUAUUACACACAACACUGAUUAAGAAGGCAGCUUAGAAAUCCAUCAUCGACGAUGAGGCAAAAAAGCGGGAGCAUCAAACAGGAGAAGACACCGUGGUAGUCCCCGCAAUAAACGAAGAUCA